Long non-coding RNA from Macaca mulatta (Rhesus monkey), 5062 nucleotides. The record is from Ensembl. Lineage: Eukaryota; Metazoa; Chordata; Mammalia; Primates; Cercopithecidae.
CCUACGUAUAUACAUACAUAUAUACACAUAUAUUUUUCUUUAUAUCAUUUAUAUGUGUAUGUAAACACACACACACAGCCCCCCAAAGAGACCACCUGGAUUUGGAAGAAAGAUGUGGGGUAAGAUUGCUUUUCGCCAGGUGGGGAAGAAAGACACAUUGACCCUCCCUUUCCGAAGCCAUGUCACAUUCUGCUUAGCCUUAGAGCUGCUUAUUCCUUGCCUGGAAUCCUCUUUCCAUUCCAUUGAUUAAAAGUUAGUGUUCAUUUUGAAGUGAUGUUAUUUGUGGAUUUGACCGAAUUAGCUACUUAAUUUUGCGGGUUGUCCGAGUGCUUCUACUCCCAGGUGCGUUGCCGGAGUCCAGCAGGCAGGGCAGCGCCUGUCCGCACUCAGGUUAGGGGUGGGAAGUGCUGGGAAUCGGGGACCCGGACACUAGUCUAACCAGCCCCGCCGCUUCCGCGGGCAAGUCAGCCCUUGAUCCCUUAAAGCAGGGACAAUCGACGUGGUCCGAGAGAGAAAAAUAAGGGUAUUUCUGGGCCCUUCUCUUUCAGAAGUUGAUCAGGUUCGCAGAUCUGGAGGGCUAAUCCAAACAAGGUGCUUGACUUGUGAGGUCGCGAGUCUAGACAGAGCUGGUGGCUCGGCGGCUCCUUAUCUUUCCCUGGAAUCAGCCGAAGAGGCGCUCCCUGGCCCACUCUGCUCGGCUCGCCCGGGUCCUGAGCCACCGCUCGACGCAGACUGCACAACAAACACAGCACCUGAGACUUUACGGCUCACUUUAUUGUUUAAUAGAGAAUGCUGCAUAACAUUCAUUUGUCUUCUUGGUUCGGCGACCUGGCCGCUUUGCAGCCACAGACGCUGGGUGUGAGCCUGCGCCAGCGCCGGUCCGUUUUGGUCCCCACGUUGAGCAGCGCGUUCCACUCCAGCACCGCGCGUGUAAGCGCGUACAACUCUGUCCCUGCGCCCUCAGGCUCCUGGAGAGAUGCUCACAAAAUGUCUUGGAUAACAGCUGACCUUGUAAUGUCCUCAUCAUGAUCGGAGGGGACAAAGAGGCUGAAUUCCUAUACCAGUCUAUCUCCCAAAGACUAUUGAAACACUUCAUGAAUUGUAUCUGCAAUAAUAUUAAUCAAGACACAAAGGUCAAACCAGUAGAACUGCUGGCUUGUUCUGGGCCUACAGUCCUAUCCUCGAAAUUUUGCUUUCUUCUUGUUGAGCUCCUUGAAUUUGAGGAAGGCCAAGUGUGAGAGAGGAUGGUGAAGAAAGGGUAAAAGUUGCUUGUAGCUGGGCAUGGGCAACUCCAAUGCCACCACAGAGAUAAGUCUCUACCAGCUCAGGAGCUGGGAGAGGGCCCUGGUGGAGGAGAAUUUGCAUAAGGAAAUCAGCAGCUCUGUAGUACACUUGUAGCACGUGACAGGAAAAAUUUGUCAUUGGCUAUUUAUGAAUUAAAUCUUAAUAAAAUCCCUAGGUCUUCCCUAACCAAGUGCAAAUGUCUUAAGAGGUUACCUAUAAUUUUGAACAUCCUUUCAGCACAUUUUCUGCAUAGUUAAUGUGUGCAGUUGUGUCUAGGCACAGGACAGAUUUACUUCUGUAUCAAAAUUUGAGGCACUGUAUAUGGCACAGAGACCCCAUUAGUCAGUGAAAUUAUGGCCUAUUCAAGGAGAUGAAAAUUUAGUGAGAAUCUUAACUAGGAAGACAACAAAGUUACUCUUUCAAAGAAAUAAUUUAAAUGACUUUGAAGAGAAAAUAAGAUUUUUUUUUUUAAUGGAAAGUUUAUUUUCCAAACUACAAGACAGUUAAAUAGUUAGCAUAUCUCUUAAACCCUAAAUUUUAAUUUAUCACUCAGUGAUGUCACUGAUAGUCUCUAGCUCUUAAUAAAUGCAGUUCAUCUUCUCGUGUGUCAGUUUUCUCAUUUUAAAAAUUAAUUAUAAUGAUAAAGCUAUUUUUAAGUGAUUUUUUUUUUCUUUUUUCUUUUUUUUUUUUUUUUUCCUGAGACAGAGUCUCCCUCUGCUCCCUCCGUUACCCAGGCUGGAAUGCAAUGGUGUGAUCUUGGCUCACUGCAACCUCUGCCUUCCGGGUUCAAACGAUUCUCUUGCCUCAGCCUCCCCAGUAGCUGGGAUUGCAGGAGCCUGCCACCACUCCUGGCUAAUUUUUGUAUUUUUUUGUAGAGACGGGGUUUCACCAUGUUGGCCAGGCUGGUCUCAAACUCCUGACUUCAAGUGAUUGACCUGCCUUGGCCUCCCAAAGUGCUGGGAUUACAGGUGUGAGCCACCAUGCCCGGCUCUAAAUGAUUUGUAGCAUAAUAGUAACACAUUUGAUGAUACAUGAACAACUAUAGAUAGAGCUAGAGGUAGAAAAAAAAUGAAAUGAAAUUAUUCCCUAGCUUUUCCUGGGUUGUAACAAAUUCCCAGAACAUUUGAACCCUCCACUGAAUCUAGGUUUAUGAUAUAUAAUUGAAGAGUAGACAGACAUCUUAGGAACAAAAGUACAAAGAAGAAAGGGGUACAUCAAAUUGGUGAGUGAGCAGAAAUAACAACAUCCAGAAGGAAUUUUCUACCCUGACUCUUAUUUUUAGGAACACUUUCUACUCCACCUCCCUGACUUCUGCCUUCCAUCUUAAGCCCUAGCUUAUCAUCAACACUAAGUGUAAGAUCAGUUUAGAGCCAGGGAAAGUGAAAUAUAAUUUAUUCAGCAAAACUUAUAGAGAUAAUUUAAGGAAUGUAAAAGUAAUUUCAUAAUUUGGAUUUUGGCCAGCAAAUAAAAACUAAUAUCCAACUCCUUUUCCCACGACUAGGAGUGAGAAUAAUGAUUUCAUAUCUCCUGUGAAUUGCAACAAUUACAACAAUAUUGUUGAAUAUUGAAGUAAUUUUCCAGCCCUACAGGAAUAUGUAAGAGUUUUUAAAAGCAGAAAAAAAAAAAGACAUCUAGAAGCAAGGUCAGACAGGAAAGUAACAUUUUAAGGCGCCACUAAAUAAUUUUUGAAACCCCAUUUGAAAUUUAUAAACUGAUCAUUUAAUGGUUUUGGCUUUUAUAAAUAUGAUGUAUAUUCUUGUUUCUUGAAUUCUAUAAUCAAAUGAUAAAUGAUAAUAUAAUAUAAAUAGCAGCAGAUAAUUUUGGACAUGAUCAUUAAAUGAAGUUUUCUAACUGAAAAAUUGAAGUGGAUGCAAAUAUACAAAGGAAAUUUAUACACGAUUUUAGACUAAAGAACAAUCCAUCUGAUCAAAAGACAUCUUAUUAUUCUUAUUAUUUGUAAUAGAUGACUUCAGUUGCAAUCAAAUGACAAAUGUAUAUAUAUGUAUAUAUAUAUUUGAUCAUCAUUUGAUAUUAUAUACAUAUAUAUAAUAUAUACUAUCCAAAUAUAUUUGAUUUAAAGGAAACUAUCAUAAAGACCAUGGUUAGAAUUCACUUUAGCAACUAAGUACAAUGAUUACACAGCAGCUAUAAGUCAAAUGAUUCUAUGAUGAACUACACAAUUAGAUAUAAAAAUACACUGUGAUAGCUAAAGACCUUGAAGUACAAUUUUAAAAUACAUUAACUAGUAUAUACAGUUGAUUUUAAUCUAUCAAAAAUUAUUGGAAUGUUAAUUUCAGUUAUAUAUUACUUAGAGUGGUCUGUUAAAUCACAAAAUGUGCCUCUGCAAAUUUUAAAUAUCACUUGAAUUGUAGUUUUUGUGCCUGCAUUCGCUCCUUACACUAUUUCGAAAAUUGCCAAAUUAAUUGUCUGUUUAGUAGUAAGUAUAAUGUGGAGAAAAAGCAUAUUGCUAAAAUGUAUUUAAUCAGAAUUUAUAUAUGCACCCCUCCAUAACACAUACCUUGAGGUAUUUUCUUGAUCGUGGUAUUAAAAUUAAGUAUUAUGCUCAGUAUAUACAAAAGCUAAAAAAUAUGAGAAUCAUAAACAAUAAAGCUCUCAUAAGAUUGUUAUUGAUCAAAAUAUUAAAUCAUUCUGGCUUUUAAUCUGCUGAAAGUACACACUGAAAAACAUAUUUUGAGCUUCAAAAAAUUUCUUAAGUCUAGCUUAAACAUAUAAUAAUCUAAUUAUAAAUGAUAAAAAUCUGUACCAGUUAUUCUUGGUAGAAACUUUAUUUUCCAGUGUAUAUAAGUAACUUUUGUUAAUUCACCGUACUUUUAAACUGAAUAUGUUUAAACAAGCUACUUUUCAUCUUAAUUUUCAAAUUAUAAUCAUGGAAUGUCUAAUAAAUCUUAAUGCCAGUUAUUUCUGUCUGAACUAAAUUGAGAUCUUUAUUGACACAUGGAAAGGGAGGGGGGUUUCUUUCCUUGCUGAGAAUUAUAUUGUUCUGGUUGUUAGAAUUAUAGUGUCACUGCUUUGUUCAAAGCUGGUCAGGGCAAGUUUCUGAACUUGGAUUUAUUACCACGUACUCGUCUUAGGUCUACCACAACCUCAAAACUUGUGACAGAGACUCUUCAACUUAUAUCUUAGCAAAUUAAAAGGACAGGAACAUCAACAGGAACUCUCGGUACAAACAAGAUUUAGGAAUAUUUAUUUGUGCAAGAGAAAAUAUGCUUUGUGGCUCUGUGCCACUUAAAAAAAAGUAGUCUUGCUUAAGGUUUCAAUUUUCUCAAAUGGAAGAAAUAGACAGAAUAUGUUCCCUGGACUUUAUGUUUAUAUUAUGCCAAAGAAAAUGAGCCAAUGCAUCUUAGUGGAUAAGCAUUAAAGUAUUCUUGAGCACAUUUUUUUUCCUGGAAUUGAUUUUUUCCUCUAAUCUUUAAGUUGGUACUUUUUUUUUUUUUUUAAACUACAUUGAUGCUUUUCUGUUGCGACUUUACCUGUCUCUUCCACCCCCACCUUUCUCUUUCAAAGCAUUUUUUCAAUCAGCAUAUGAGGUUCUGAAAGAAUACUUAGUCUUGGCUUUUCCCUCAACUUUAUUCAGCAAAGCUACUGACUUGAACAAAAGCAGUACUGUACCUGCUCCUGGCCGCCAGAAACAAUGACGAGCGCCUUGAUAAGAUUAGAUGUAAUUUUAAAUGCAGUGGGGACAAAGACUCCCUCCCAUUCGCCCCACUCUUAACCCCCUACUGUAAUUCCACCACAGGGAGCAGUUGAAAAAUCCCGG